Molecule: ribosomal RNA, 440 nt
Filed under: uncultured bacterium
Lineage: Bacteria
Description: partial 16S ribosomal RNA
Rfam family: Bacterial small subunit ribosomal RNA
Source: RNAcentral
CCUACGGGUGGCAGCAGUGGGGAAUAUUGCACAAUGGGGGAAACCCUGAUGCAGCGACGCCGCGUGAGUGAAGAAGUAUUUCGGUAUGUAAAGCUCUAUCAGCAGGGAAGAAAAUGACGGUACCUGAUUAAGAAGCCCCGGCUAACUACGUGCCAGCAGCCGCGGUAAUGAGUAGGGGGCAAGCGUUAUCCGGAUUUACUGGGUGUAAAGGGGGCGUAGACGGCAGCACAAGUCUGGAGUGAAAUGCAGGGGCUUAACCCCGGAACUGCUUUGGAGACUGUGCAGCUAGAGUGCAGGAGAGGUAAGUGGAAUUCCUAGUGUAGCGGUGAAAUGCGUAGAUAUUAGGAGGAACACCAGUGGCGAAGGCGGUUUACUGGACUGUAACUGACGUUGAGGCUCGAAAGCGUGGGGAGCAAACAGGAUUAGAUACCCCGGUAGUC